RNAcentral lists this ribosomal RNA (460 nucleotides) under uncultured bacterium. RNAcentral describes it as "partial 16S ribosomal RNA". It matches the Rfam family "Bacterial small subunit ribosomal RNA", at positions 338 to 795 of the family's 1533-position model. The record is from RNAcentral.
CCUACGGGUGGCAGCAGUGAGGAAUAUUGGUCAAUGGACGAGAGUCUGAACCAGCCAAGUAGCGUGAAGGAUGACUGCCCUAUGGGUUGUAAACUUCUUUUAUAUGGGAAUAAAAUGUUCCACGUGUGGGCUUUUGUAUGUACCAUAUGAAUAAGGAUCGGCUAACUCCGUGCCAGCAGCCGCGGUAAUACGGAGGAUCCGAGCGUUAUCCGGAUUUAUUGGGUUUAAAGGGAGCGUAGAUGGGUUGUUAAGUCAGUUGUGAAAGUUUGCGGCUCAACCGUAAAAUUGCAAUUGAUACUGGCAGUCUUGAGUACAGUUGAGGUAGGCGGAAUGCGUGGUGUAGCGGUGAAAUGCUUAGAUAUCACGAAGAACUCCGAUUGCGAAGGCAGCUUACUAAACUGCCACUGACAUUGAUGCUCGAAAGUGUGGGUAUCAAACAGGAUUAGAUACCCGAGUAGUC